UAUAUUUCAAGAGACAGACUUGCUAACUAGAAAAAAACACGUAGCACAUUACCAGCCUUUUUCUUCAGGCCCGUCCUUGGUAGUGCAGGGGUCCUGCAGAGCAGCUCGACCUCAUUCACAGGACAGAAGAGAAGUGAAACUGUGUUACCGAACACGUGGCAAACAUGAAUAAUAAAACGCCGGUGUAGCUUUCGGAAAUGACUCCUCUCUCUGGUUUCUCCUCACAGAGUCACACUUCUGAUGCCUGCGUUCAGACCCGCAGGGAGUCUGACAAGCGGAGCUCCAGGCUGGACCGCCGGCGGGCUCGAUCGGCUGACCUGGAGAAGAUAAGACGCUCGCAGCUGAUGGUGGUGGACGACCACUGGAUGACAGAGUACAUGCGCUGUUUCUCCGCCCGGCUUAGACAUGGCUGGUAAGGACAUGAGGAGGAAACAGUAGGAGCUGUGUGAGGUUACUAAAGGCAGUGGAUCCCUCAGCAGCUGGAUUACAAAGAGCACAGUCUCAGAUCAACACAGCGCUGCCCUCCAGCACUAUCAGCAGCAGGAGCAGCAGCAACCCCUCAACAGCAACAUUGUACCCAUCAGGAGGAGUAAUGACUCAUGUGAGCAGACAGAUGGACGACGGACGGUUCCCCGUGGCAGGAGCUCAUCGGUCCUGCAGCCGGAUGAGCUGAAAUGUGACUUAAUGCUUGAAGUGGGGACUCGUCUCUCUCUCUGAUUCCACUCCUCGUGUCUUGUUACCGCUCACCAGAGAUACAAGCAGAGGAGUAGGCAAGCAGAGACACAGGGAGGGAGACGUUGAGGCAGCAAACAUUUAAGAAAAUGUUUUCCUGAUUUUUGAGCCUCAUUUUGAAGUUGCAUGAAUAGUUUGUUAUAGUCAAAUUACAGCUCAGCUUGAUACCAGUGUCAAUUUAUUUAAUAUAUAUAUUUUCAAUAAAAUCCACAUCACUCU
Long non-coding RNA from Pelmatolapia mariae (spotted tilapia), 951 nucleotides. RefSeq lists it as uncharacterized. The transcript has 4 exons. The record is from RefSeq and is a predicted model, not a curated record. NCBI's taxonomy places the organism in Eukaryota, Metazoa, Chordata, Actinopteri, Cichliformes, Cichlidae.